RNAcentral lists this ribosomal RNA (305 nucleotides) under uncultured bacterium. RNAcentral describes it as "bacterial SSU rRNA". It matches the Rfam family "Bacterial small subunit ribosomal RNA", at positions 338 to 641 of the family's 1533-position model. The record is from RNAcentral.
CCUACGGGACGCAGCAGUGAGGAAUAUUGGUCAAUGGCCGCAGGGCUGAACCAGCCAAGUCGCGUGAGGGAUGACGGUCCUAUGGAUUGUAAACCUCUUUUGUCGGAGAGCAAAGCGAACCACGUGUGGUUCAUUGAGAGUACCCGAAGAAAAAGCAUCGGCUAACUCCGUGCCAGCAGCCGCGGUAAUACGGAGGAUGCGAGCGUUAUCCGGAUUUAUUGGGUUUAAAGGGUGCGUAGGCGGAUUUUUAAGUCAGCGGUAAAAUGUCCGGGCUCAACCCGGGCCGGCCGUUGAAACUGGGGAUU